This 467-nucleotide ribosomal RNA is filed under the name uncultured bacterium. RNAcentral's name for it is "partial 16S ribosomal RNA". It matches the Rfam family "Bacterial small subunit ribosomal RNA", at positions 28 to 507 of the family's 1533-position model. The record is from RNAcentral.
GACGAACGCUGGCGGCGUGCUUAACACAUGCAAGUCGAACGGAAAGGCCCUGCUUUUGUGGGGUGCUCGAGUGGCGAACGGGUGAGUAACACGUGAGUAACCUGCCCUUGACUUUGGGAUAACUUCAGGAAACUGGGGCUAAUACCGGAUAGGAGCUCCUGCUGCAUGGUGGGGUUGGAAAGUUUCGGCGGUUGGGGAUGGACUCGCGGCUUAUCAGCUUGUUGGUGGGGUAGUGGCUUACCAAGGCUUUGACGGGUAGCCGGCCUGGGAGGGUGACCGGCCACAUUGGGACUGAGAUACGGCCCAGACUCCUACGGGAGGCAGCGGUGGGGAAUAUUGAACAAUGGGCGGAAGCCUGAUGAAGAAACGCCGCGUGCGGGAUGACGGCCUUCGGGUUGUAAACCGCUUUCGCAUGUGACGAAGCGUGAGUGACGGUAAUGGGUAAAGAAGCACCGGCUAACUACGUG